GAAUGAAAAAUCCAAAACUAUUAGAACCUUGGUCUGAACGUCGCCAUACAGUGUUGAUGGAUGCGUCCAUUUGUGCGUGUUUUAGUCCGAUAAUGACUCUUUCUUGUUCUUUUCUUGGCAGACAGGAGUCAUUAUUGUCUCCUCAGAGGUCUUUGUCGGACCAGGUAAACACGGGUGGUUUGAGGAAUCUGACCGAGUGACGCCGAUGUUUUUCAGGUACAGUGUUCCCGCAGCAUCGCUGGUCGUCAUAGCAACGCAACACAAAGAUGCUGUGAUGUCAUCUUCAGCAUGAGAAGGAAACCCACUGAUAUCCGACCUGACGGCGGUGAGGCAGAACCAGAACAGUCCGCUGACAUGCGUCACGGUCCGGGGAUGGAGAUGGAGGGGAGGCCUAGUGCUGAGUCCUGAGUGCCGCUGGUGCUGAGCAGACACACAUUAGAGGUGAUGAUAGUCAUUUCAAAGUCACAGCAUCUUCCGCUUAAUUACAGUGACGGGUCAGCUCCUGCGCGCGCGUAAAAAUAACCAUUUUCUUAAUUACAA
This is a long non-coding RNA of Sphaeramia orbicularis (orbiculate cardinalfish), 540 nucleotides long. RefSeq lists it as uncharacterized. The transcript is spliced from 3 exons. Lineage: Eukaryota; Metazoa; Chordata; Actinopteri; Kurtiformes; Apogonidae. The record is from RefSeq and is a predicted model, not a curated record.